UACGUAGGGGGCAAGCGUUGUCCGGAAUCAUUGGGCGUAAAGAGCGUGUAGGCGGCCAGAAAAGUCCGCUGUGAAAACUCGAGGCUCAACUUCGAGCUGUCGGUGGAAACUUUCUGGCUAGAGUCCGGAAGAGGAGAAUGGAAUUCCCGGUGUAGCGGUGAAAUGCGCAGAUAUCGGGAAGAACACCCGUGGCGAAGGCGGUUCUCUGGGACGGUACUGACGCUGAGACGCGAAAGCGUGGGGAGCGAACAGG
This 253-nucleotide ribosomal RNA is filed under the name uncultured bacterium. RNAcentral describes it as "partial 16S ribosomal RNA". It matches the Rfam family "Bacterial small subunit ribosomal RNA", at positions 524 to 776 of the family's 1533-position model. The record is from RNAcentral.